This 2924-nucleotide ribosomal RNA is filed under the name Escherichia coli 96.0497. RNAcentral's name for it is "bacterial LSU rRNA". It matches the Rfam family "Bacterial large subunit ribosomal RNA". Lineage: Bacteria; Pseudomonadati; Pseudomonadota; Gammaproteobacteria; Enterobacterales; Enterobacteriaceae. The record is from RNAcentral.
GAAACAUCUUCGGGUUGUGAGGUUAAGCGACUAAGCGUACACGGUGGAUGCCCUGGCAGUCAGAGGCGAUGAAGGACGUGCUAAUCUGCGAUAAGCGUCGGUAAGGUGAUAUGAACCGUUAUAACCGGCGAUUUCCGAAUGGGGAAACCCAGUGUGAUUCGUCACACUAUCAUUAACUGAAUCCAUAGGUUAAUGAGGCGAACCGGGGGAACUGAAACAUCUAAGUACCCCGAGGAAAAGAAAUCAACCGAGAUUCCCCCAGUAGCGGCGAGCGAACGGGGAGCAGCCCAGAGCCUGAAUCAGUGUGUGUGUUAGUGGAAGCGUCUGGAAAGGCGCGCGAUACAGGGUGACAGCCCCGUACACAAAAAUGCACAUACUGUGAGCUCGAUGAGUAGGGCGGGACACGUGGUAUCCUGUCUGAAUAUGGGGGGACCAUCCUCCAAGGCUAAAUACUCCUGACUGACCGAUAGUGAACCAGUACCGUGAGGGAAAGGCGAAAAGAACCCCGGCGAGGGGAGUGAAAAAGAACCUGAAACCGUGUACGUACAAGCAGUGGGAGCACGCUUAGGCGUGUGACUGCGUACCUUUUGUAUAAUGGGUCAGCGACUUAUAUUCUGUAGCAAGGUUAACCGAAUAGGGGAGCCGAAGGGAAACCGAGUCUUAACUGGGCGUUAAGUUGCAGGGUAUAGACCCGAAACCCGGUGAUCUAGCCAUGGGCAGGUUGAAGGUUGGGUAACACUAACUGGAGGACCGAACCGACUAAUGUUGAAAAAUUAGCGGAUGACUUGUGGCUGGGGGUGAAAGGCCAAUCAAACCGGGAGAUAGCUGGUUCUCCCCGAAAGCUAUUUAGGUAGCGCCUCGUGAAUUCAUCUCCGGGGGUAGAGCACUGUUUCGGCAAGGGGGUCAUCCCGACUUACCAACCCGAUGCAAACUGCGAAUACCGGAGAAUGUUAUCACGGGAGACACACGGCGGGUGCUAACGUCCGUCGUGAAGAGGGAAACAACCCAGACCGCCAGCUAAGGUCCCAAAGUCAUGGUUAAGUGGGAAACGAUGUGGGAAGGCCCAGACAGCCAGGAUGUUGGCUUAGAAGCAGCCAUCAUUUAAAGAAAGCGUAAUAGCUCACUGGUCGAGUCGGCCUGCGCGGAAGAUGUAACGGGGCUAAACCAUGCACCGAAGCUGCGGCAGCGACGCUUAUGCGUUGUUGGGUAGGGGAGCGUUCUGUAAGCCUGUGAAGGUGUACUGUGAGGUAUGCUGGAGGUAUCAGAAGUGCGAAUGCUGACAUAAGUAACGAUAAAGCGGGUGAAAAGCCCGCUCGCCGGAAGACCAAGGGUUCCUGUCCAACGUUAAUCGGGGCAGGGUGAGUCGACCCCUAAGGCGAGGCCGAAAGGCGUAGUCGAUGGGAAACAGGUUAAUAUUCCUGUACUUGGUGUUACUGCGAAGGGGGGACGGAGAAGGCUAUGUUGGCCGGGCGACGGUUGUCCCGGUUUAAGCGUGUAGGCUGGUUUUCCAGGCAAAUCCGGAAAAUCAAGGCUGAGGCGUGAUGACGAGGCACUACGGUGCUGAAGCAACAAAUGCCCUGCUUCCAGGAAAAGCCUCUAAGCAUCAGGUAACAUCAAAUCGUACCCCAAACCGACACAGGUGGUCAGGUAGAGAAUACCAAGGCGCUUGAGAGAACUCGGGUGAAGGAACUAGGCAAAAUGGUGCCGUAACUUCGGGAGAAGGCACGCUGAUAUGUAGGUGAAGUCCCUCGCGGAUGGAGCUGAAAUCAGUCGAAGAUACCAGCUGGCUGCAACUGUUUAUUAAAAACACAGCACUGUGCAAACACGAAAGUGGACGUAUACGGUGUGACGCCUGCCCGGUGCCGGAAGGUUAAUUGAUGGGGUUAGCGCAAGCGAAGCUCUUGAUCGAAGCCCCGGUAAACGGCGGCCGUAACUAUAACGGUCCUAAGGUAGCGAAAUUCCUUGUCGGGUAAGUUCCGACCUGCACGAAUGGCGUAAUGAUGGCCAGGCUGUCUCCACCCGAGACUCAGUGAAAUUGAACUCGCUGUGAAGAUGCAGUGUACCCGCGGCAAGACGGAAAGACCCCGUGAACCUUUACUAUAGCUUGACACUGAACAUUGAGCCUUGAUGUGUAGGAUAGGUGGGAGGCUUUGAAGUGUGGACGCCAGUCUGCAUGGAGCCGACCUUGAAAUACCACCCUUUAAUGUUUGAUGUUCUAACGUUGACCCGUAAUCCGGGUUGCGGACAGUGUCUGGUGGGUAGUUUGACUGGGGCGGUCUCCUCCUAAAGAGUAACGGAGGAGCACGAAGGUUGGCUAAUCCUGGUCGGACAUCAGGAGGUUAGUGCAAUGGCAUAAGCCAGCUUGACUGCGAGCGUGACGGCGCGAGCAGGUGCGAAAGCAGGUCAUAGUGAUCCGGUGGUUCUGAAUGGAAGGGCCAUCGCUCAACGGAUAAAAGGUACUCCGGGGAUAACAGGCUGAUACCGCCCAAGAGUUCAUAUCGACGGCGGUGUUUGGCACCUCGAUGUCGGCUCAUCACAUCCUGGGGCUGAAGUAGGUCCCAAGGGUAUGGCUGUUCGCCAUUUAAAGUGGUACGCGAGCUGGGUUUAGAACGUCGUGAGACAGUUCGGUCCCUAUCUGCCGUGGGCGCUGGAGAACUGAGGGGGGCUGCUCCUAGUACGAGAGGACCGGAGUGGACGCAUCACUGGUGUUCGGGUUGUCAUGCCAAUGGCACUGCCCGGUAGCUAAAUGCGGAAGAGAUAAGUGCUGAAAGCAUCUAAGCACGAAACUUGCCCCGAGAUGAGUUCUCCCUGACUCCUUGAGAGUCCUGAAGGAACGUUGAAGACGACGACGUUGAUAGGCCGGAUGUGUAAGCGCAGCGAUGCGUUGAGCUAACCGGUACUAAUGAACCGUGAGGCUUAACCUU